This 623-nucleotide ribosomal RNA is filed under the name uncultured archaeon. Its description in RNAcentral is "bacterial SSU rRNA". It matches the Rfam family "Archaeal small subunit ribosomal RNA", at positions 146 to 774 of the family's 1478-position model. The record is from RNAcentral.
GUAAUACUCUAUAGUCCGGGGAGACUGGAAUGUUCUCCGGAUGAAAGAUCCGUCGCUUCAGGAUGAGUCUGCGGCCGAUUAGGUAGUUGUUGGGGUAAAAGCCCAACAAGCCCGUAAUCGGUACGGGUUGUGGGAGCAAGAGCCCGGAGAUGGAUUCUGAGACACGAAUCCAGGCCCUACGGGGCGCAGCAGGCGCGAAAACUUUACAAUGCGGGCAACCGUGAUAAGGAAACCCCGAGUGCCACCACAGGGUGGCUGUCCACCAGUGUAAAAAACUGGUGAAGAAAGGGCCGGGCAAGACCGGUGCCAGCCGCCGCGGUAAUACCGGCGGCUCGAGUGGUGGCCGCUUUUACCGGGCUUAAAGGGUCCGUAGCUUGAUUCACAAGUCCCUUGAGAAAUCCAUCGGCUUAACUGAUGGGCGUUCAGGGGAUACUGUGGUUCUAGGGACCGGGAGAGGUGAGAGGUACUGCCGGGGUAGGAGUGAAAUCCUGUAAUCCCGGUGGGACGACCUAUGGCGAAGGCAUCUCACCAGAACGGCUCCGACAGUGAGGGACGAAAGCUGGGGGAGCAAACCGGAUUAGAUACCCGGGUAGUCCCAGCUGUAAACGAUGCGCGUUAGGUGU